AUGAAUCUGCCCUCUUCUCCCGCCCUCCCGAUCCGCCCCUCCCUAAAUCUCUUUGGGAGACCUUUUGUCGUGAAGAAAAGUAAGACAAACGAAUCCCAUGAAUUUAAACCCAACAGGAAAACGAUCUUGAUUUUUUUUAAUGAUGUAAUGAUUGCAAAUUGUCUGAUCUGUGGAGUGGCAAAAAGGUUUUUUUUUUUGUUUUCUUUUUUUUUUUUUUUUAAGCACACCGUUACCUUCGGUCUCGUGUCUGCCCCACAGAAUAGCUGAUUUUUUUUUUUUAAAGAAAGAAAUUGCUUUUAUUUCACAGUUUAAAAACAGUGGGGGACAUGCUUCACUUUUUUUUCUCUCUCUGGCACCUUGUUAAUUUCCUGCUUCGUUGCCGGCAGUCAAGGCGGUUUCCUCUCAGACUUUGUACGUUGCAUUAGUAAGUUCUUCUUUUUUCUUUUUUUUUUUCCUGUCUGAUCUGGCGAUAAAACGUAUCCCAGACCAUCGAGCCAAAAUAAUGAGCUUUAUUCGGCUGCGGGAGUAUAAAAUUGUAGCUAGGACCUUCAGCUUCUGUGCCAUAUAAUAAUGUCUCUGGGGUGAGUCCUGCCUCCCCUUCCUCCCCGUACAUCUUGACUGCAAGAAUAUGUGCCGAAAGGGUUUACCCUAGAUGACAUCGUCAGAGGGAAACCCAGUUUGCGACAGCGCAAAAACAAGCCGUCUUUUGGUUCCCGCGUUCUUUCGUUGCUUUUUUUUAUUCUCUUAGUUUCCUUCCCUCUGAAAGUUCUGUUUGAGACUGUGAUUUAUUAUUUUUUUUUAAAUUAUUGUUCUACACGUAGUUUGCUACAUGUGCUAUACUUUCGUUUGUUGACUACCAACCAAGCAAUAGCUAUCAAGCCUGAGGGAAGUGCCUGAUUGCAUUUUUUUUUUUUUGUUUUGUUUUGUUAUCCUUUUUUUUUUCUUCCUGUUUUCUAAUUUAGUGUUUAAGGAAAAAAAAGAAAAAGAAAAGAAGAAGAAGAAAGUUAAAAAUUUGCUUCUCACCCAACGUGAGAAAAAAUCCCUUCGGUGGGAAUCCGAAAAUCUGCGCCAGGUUUUGGGCCGGAAGGAAGAUUUGAGGUUUUGACUCAUUCUCUUGGAUCGUUUGUGUGCGCGCGUGUGUGUGUGUGUAUAUAUGUAUGUGUGUGUGUUUUGCAAAUUAACCCUUUGGGAUUGGGAAAAAUCUUGACCCAGUGUUUGGUCGGGGUAGGGUUAAGAUGGUGUCUGCAUUCUGAGUCAAACUGAAGCAACCUUUUAUUUUUUAUUUUUUAUUUUUUCGCCUUGUUGGUCCUAAAAAGUAUUGGAAAGGUCUUGUCAGCUCUUGGCGUGAUUGCAGCCACAUCAGGGGAGGCCUUUGAAUGACAGUGCCAAGGCUGGUGUGAUUGGCAGCUGCUGCCAUCCCUCCUCCCAUCUUCUUGACCCCGUUCUCUCUCUCUCUCUCUCUCUCUCUCUCUCUUUCUCUCUCUCUUGGAAGCCGGCUCACUCUGGGGGUGGCCAGGAACGUGCGUGAAAAGGAGCCCAGCCAAAGGGACCUGUGGAAUAGAGGCGGUUUUAUAGGUGUAGCUUUGAAGUGGACCAGGUCAGAGGGGUCCCCUUUUUGGAGAGGCUGAGUGCCAAAUGUGUGCCCUGCUCCGAGCCAGUGCCAAACCAGUGCCAAACUUUUGCCAGUCUUUUCGGAAAGCAGAUGGCCGCAGGACCCAACUAGGGGAAUCGAGAGAAAUUAGCCGGUCUCCCUCUCUUCUUCCGGAGAUCCCCCGGGUAGCUAAGCAGCAACACAAUAUAAGCAUCUCGCAACUGCCAACCGUCAACAUUUACAGAUGCCGCGAGAAACAGCCUUUUUUUUUCACCAAUGGGACAAACGGGCCGAUCCCCGGAAAAGGAUGGGAGCCUCCGAUGUGCUUCCCCCCCCCUUUUUUUAAAUGUUUUUUUGUCACGUUGCAACGGGCAACACGAGUGGACUUCCGCGCAUGAGAUGUUAAUGAAGGGUUUGAGGGGGCGUGUUUUGCUUCGACAACGACAACACUAAUUUCGCAUGGACGUUUGCAGCAUUCCAGCGGGGGGGGGGGGGGGGGGGGGGGGGGGGGAGCGGGGGUGCUGCCUUUGGCUUUCUGGGAUCGCCCCCCCUUUUUUUUGUGGAACACUACAGAAAGAAGCCGGGGCAGGGAGAGCUGCAUUUUUUGGGGAGGUGGGGUGAGUCCCUCCCGCUUACCCUUGCAUUGUAUCAACAACACACGGUGAAUGAGAAGUUACUAAAAUUGGGAGAAAGUAACCUUCAGUUACUACAGAGUAACUACACAAAAGGGCUCGUUGGGUUGAUGGGGGGGGCGGGCGGGAAGAAACGGAGCUAUUUUCCAAUGUCACCAACAUUCCUGACUUUUUCUUAAUUGUGUUGAUCUAAAAUGUCUUGUGGGGGGGGGACUGUGUUUUAGGGAUUUGGGGCAGGGGAAACGAAUGGAUUCCCCCCGAUAGGCAGAGGAAUGUCGAAUUUUGUCUUCUCGCCCAAAGACCCACCAGACUUGACUUUCCGUAAGGGGAAACACUGUCCUCGCAAAGGUGCCAUGACUUUAAACUCUCGGGAAGCCCCCUCCCUGGAAGUGUUUUUUCUUGGAUGGCGUGACGAGACCCUGCCCUCUGCGGCGGGCUUUCACUGCAGGCCUUGGACCCCGGGAGACUCGGAUCGGGAGCGCCUGGCCCGUCACUCUCGGCAUCGCCUUUCCAGGAAAUGGGCCUCCAUCCCGGACCGCCGUGCCUGCCCGAGCGGGCCCUUCCUCCGUAAGCCGCUGGGGAGCCGCGUGGAGAUGGUGUGCGGGGGGUGCUCUUCUUUUCUCGCAAAGCCGCACUACGUGGACCAGCCGUCGUCGGGAUGGAAGUUCCCACCCCCUUGCGGGGUGUUUCUGCUCCGGAGUUGUGCCAACCUUCCUCUCCCAUCGCAGCUACGUUCCUCCCUUCCUCUUCCGCUGGCUGGGCCGAUGGGAACUGGUCGAGGUUCCAGAUGACCCCCCCCCCCACGAAAGAAAAGGCCGGCGGGGGCCCUUGGAAUCGGGCCUGUGUGUGGCGGAGGCAGCCAAAGUUAAAGACGGGAGCAGUCUGACCAUGUUCUUGUUCACGGUGCACUUUAUAUGAAGAAAACUAAAGAAGGAGAAAAGAAAGGAAGAGUCCUACUGAAGAAAGCACUAGCCUGCUCACACACACUUCUGUCAGGCUGCAGGCGGAAAGAGGAUCGCCAAAAACGCACCAUUCCAUUUCCUUCGGGUGUGGGGGGGGGAGAAACGGGGACUUUGCGGCGUUUGGCCUACCCAACCGGCAGCUGCCCCCCCCCUUCCAACAGCCUCCCCUUGGGAUUGAAUUCUCCACCUGCUUUUUGCCUUUUUAUCGUGCGCCCCUCCCUCCAGACACAUUUUAUAGCUACUUUUGGGGGGCGGUGGGGGGAAGUGUAGGAUCGUGCUUGACCGGAACGGAAGGCCGAGUUCACCAUCCGACGUUUCAAGUCUGUAAUUCAGUACUCUCUGUGUGCGUGUGCGUACGUUGUAUACUUUUUCUUUUUAAUUUUCAAGAAGAAGAAGAAAAAGAGAAGCAUUAUUACAUGGUUUUGUGCCAAUGCCCAUUCUUUUCUUUAGUACCAGAGACACUUUUACAAGUACCAGUGUGGUGAAAAAUUAUUUGGUUAUACUAGUAUAUUAUAAACAGAGAACCUGAUUUAAAAAAAAGAAUAACAUUUAAACGUCCUAUUUAAAAAGAAUAUAAAAAUGCUGUUUUUAAAAACCUUUUUUUUUUUGUCAUUUUGAACUUGCAUGUGGUGUUAACACGUGGGGGCAGGGUGGGCAAAGGAGGGGAUUUGGAAUUGCGUGGCCCGGGGUUGGUAUUCCCCCCCCCCCCUUUGUGUUCCUGUCUCGCACUCCCGACGGCGAGGAGGAGGAGGAGGAGGAGGAGGAGGCAGAGGCUGGGUUUCUCGGAACACUUGAAUUCGUUCAUCUGCUGGGUGCUGACCCUCCUUAUUUUAGAAGUACCUGAUGGGAAAUUGAUUUUCAUAGCUUUCUCCUGAAUAAAUUGUUUGAAAUUGGAAUAAAAUUCAUUCCUUACAAAAA
Molecule: non-coding RNA, 4103 nt
Organism: Pseudonaja textilis
Lineage: Eukaryota; Metazoa; Chordata; Lepidosauria; Squamata; Elapidae
Source: RefSeq, a predicted model, not a curated record